This 1438-nucleotide ribosomal RNA is filed under the name uncultured organism. RNAcentral describes it as "SSU rRNA". It matches the Rfam family "Bacterial small subunit ribosomal RNA". The record is from RNAcentral.
UGGCGGCGUGCUUAACACAUGCAAGUCGAACGGAAAGGCCCUGCUUUUGUGGGGUGCUCGAGUGGCGAACGGGUGAGUAACACGUGAGUAACCUGCCCUUGACUUUGGGAUAACUUCAGGAAACUGGGGCUAAUACCGGAUAGGAGCUCCUGCUGCAUGGUGGGGGUUGGAAAGUUUCGGCGGUUGGGGAUGGACUCGCGGCUUAUCAGCUUGUUGGUGGGGUAGUGGCUUACCAAGGCUUUGACGGGUAGCCGGCCUGAGAGGGUGACCGGCCACAUUGGGACUGAGAUACGGCCCAGACUCCUACGGGAGGCAGCAGUGGGGAAUAUUGCACAAUGGGCGGAAGCCUGAUGCAGCAACGCCGCGUGCGGGAUGACGGCCUUCGGGUUGUAAACCGCUUUCGCCUGUGACGAAGCGUGAGUGACGGUAAUGGGUAAAGAAGCACCGGCUAACUACGUGCCAGCAGCCGCGGUGAUACGUAGGGUGCGAGCGUUGUCCGGAUUUAUUGGGCGUAAAGGGCUCGUAGGUGGUUGAUCGCGUCGGAAGUGUAAUCUUGGGGCUUAACCCUGAGCGUGCUUUCGAUACGGGUUGACUUGAGGAAGGUAGGGGAGAAUGGAAUUCCUGGUGGAGCGGUGGAAUGCGCAGAUAUCAGGAGGAACACCAGUGGCGAAGGCGGUUCUCUGGGCCUUUCCUGACGCUGAGGAGCGAAAGCGUGGGGAGCGAACAGGCUUAGAUACCCUGGUAGUCCACGCUGUAAACGGUGGGUACUAGGUGUGGGGUCCAUUCCACGGGUUCCGUGCCGUAGCUAACGCUUUAAGUACCCCGCCUGGGGAGUACGGCCGCAAGGCUAAAACUCAAAGGAAUUGACGGGGCCCCGCACAAGCGGCGGAGCAUGCGGAUUAAUUCGAUGCAACGCGUAGAACCUUACCUGGGUUUGACAUGGAUCGGGAGCGCUCAGAGAUGGGUGUGCCUCUUUUGGGGUCGGUUCACAGGUGGUGCAUGGCUGUCGUCAGCUCGUGUCGUGAGAUGUUGGGUUAAGUCCCGCAACGAGCGCAACCCUUGUUCACUGUUGCCAGCACGUUAUGGUGGGGACUCAGUGGAGACCGCCGGGGUCAACUCGGAGGAAGGUGGGGAUGACGUCAAGUCAUCAUGCCCCUUAUGUCCAGGGCUUCACGCAUGCUACAAUGGCUGGUACAGAGAGUGGCGAGCCUGUGAGGGUGAGCGAAUCUCGGAAAGCCGGUCUCAGUUCGGAUUGGGGUCUGCAACUCGACCUCAUGAAGUCGGAGUCGCUAGUAAUCGCAGAUCAGCAACGCUGCGGUGAAUACGUUCCCGGGGCUUGUACACACCGCCCGUCAAGUCAUGAAAGUUGGUAACACCCGAAGCCGGUGGCCUAACCGUUGUGGGGGAGCCGUCGAAGGUGGGACUGGUGAUUAGGACU